GAUGAAUGCUGGCGGCGUGCCUAACACAUGCAAGUCGAGCGGCAGCGCGAGUAGUUUACUACUUGGCGGCGAGCGGCGGACGGCUGAGUAACGCGUGGGAACGUGCCCCAAAGCGAGGGAUAACGCACCGAAAGGUGUGCUAAUACCGCAUAUGAUCUUCGGAUUAAAGAAUUUAUUCGCUUUGGGAGCGGCCCGCGUCGGAUUAGGUAGUUGGUAGGGUAAUGGCCUACCAAGCCGACGAUCCGUAGCUGGUCUGAGAGGAUGACCAGCCAGACUGGAACUGAGACACGGCCCAGACCCCUACGGGAGGCAGCAGUGAGGAAUCUUCCACAAUGGGCGAAGGCCUGAUGGAGCAACGCCGCGGGAAGGAUGAAGGCCUUCGGGUAGUAAACUGCUUUUAUAAGUGAAGAAUAUGACGGUAACUUAUGAAUAAGCACCGGCUAACUACGUGCCAGCCGCCGCCGUAA
Molecule: ribosomal RNA, 467 nt
Filed under: uncultured bacterium
Lineage: Bacteria
Description: partial 16S ribosomal RNA
Rfam family: Bacterial small subunit ribosomal RNA
Source: RNAcentral